This 306-nucleotide long non-coding RNA is filed under the name Dromaius novaehollandiae (emu). RNAcentral's name for it is "lncRNA (ENSDNVG00000003759.1)". The record is from RNAcentral. Lineage: Eukaryota; Metazoa; Chordata; Aves; Casuariiformes; Dromaiidae.
UUAUUUCCUUCAUCGUUGCAGAUAGCUUCUGGUGGCUGCUUCUUGACCAAGUGCAGAGCAGCUAAUACUUGUUUGCAAACAGUAGUCCCAAAACAAGACUGAAAGAGCACCCACAGACAACCCAAAGAAAGACAAGCUAAGAUCUCUGGAUUUUCCUGAACGAUAAGACAGAACUGCAAGAAAGUUCUUCUUCUCUGAUCACUCAAAGAGAAAGAAGUCAUCUAAGCUAAGGGACUGCUGCUUGCUUGGGAGAUUCAGUACUGAGAUCCCACAUAAACAUGGAGAAACACAGACAGAAAAAGAACC